This is a small nucleolar RNA of Phyllostomus discolor (pale spear-nosed bat), 210 nucleotides long. RefSeq annotates it as small nucleolar RNA U3. The record is from RefSeq and is a predicted model, not a curated record. The transcript has a single exon. Lineage: Eukaryota; Metazoa; Chordata; Mammalia; Chiroptera; Phyllostomidae.
AAGACUAUAUUUUCAGGGAUCAUUGCUAUAGUUCAUUACUAGAGAAGUUCCUCUGUGUAGAGCACCCGAAACCACGAGAAGGAGAUGCAGUGUUCUCUCUUGAGCAUGAAGCCACUUUUUGGUGUUGCUUUUGCAAUUGCCAAUAGCCAUUGAUGAUCAUUCUUCCCUUACUUUGGAAGAGUAAGAGGGAGAGAAUGCAGUCUGAGUGGU